CGAGGAGCCAGGAGGCCCCCGUGGUCUGAGCUGCUGCCGCUGCCCAAGCUACGCUUGGAUUCAGGAGGUUGCCUCCUAGCCGAUAGCCGAAGAGAGCGCCGUCCCCGGUCCCGCGGCACUGGUGCUGCUCGGUCCAGCCUCUCUGGAUGUA
Molecule: long non-coding RNA, 151 nt
Filed under: Cervus hanglu yarkandensis (Yarkand deer)
Lineage: Eukaryota; Metazoa; Chordata; Mammalia; Artiodactyla; Cervidae
Description: lncRNA (ENSCHYG00000002566.1)
Source: RNAcentral